This 404-nucleotide ribosomal RNA is filed under the name uncultured Pseudomonadota bacterium. Its description in RNAcentral is "bacterial SSU rRNA". It matches the Rfam family "Bacterial small subunit ribosomal RNA", at positions 378 to 774 of the family's 1533-position model. Lineage: Bacteria; Pseudomonadati; Pseudomonadota. The record is from RNAcentral.
AAAGCCUGACGCAGCGACGCCGCGUGAGGGAUGAAGGCCUUCGGGUCGUAAACCUCUGUCAGGAGGGAAGAACCGCCAUGGUGCUAAUCAGCCAUGGUCUGACGGUACCUCCAAAGGAAGCCCCGGCUAACUUCGUGCCAGCAGCCGCGGUAAUACGAAGGGGGCUAGCGUUGUUCGGAAUUACUGGGCGUAAAGCGCACGUAGGCGGGCAUUUAAGUCAGGGGUGAAAUCCCAGAGCUCAACUCUGGAACUGCCGUUGAUACUGGGUGUCUUGAGUAUGGAAGAGGUAAGUGGAAUUCCGAGUGUAGAGGUGAAAUUCGUAGAUAUUCGGAGGAACACCAGUGGCGAAGGCGGCUUACUGGUCCAUUACUGACGCUGAGGUGCGAAAGCGUGGGGAGCAAACA